RNAcentral lists this ribosomal RNA (588 nucleotides) under bacterium amp-w-70. Its description in RNAcentral is "bacterial SSU rRNA". It matches the Rfam family "Bacterial small subunit ribosomal RNA", at positions 52 to 636 of the family's 1533-position model. The record is from RNAcentral.
CACAUGCAGUCGAACGAUACUCUUUAGCUUGCUAAGCGUAGGAAAGUGGCGCACGGGUGCGUUACUGGGCUAUGAACCUACCUUAAUCAGGGGGAUAGCCCGAAGAAAUUCGGAUUAACACCGCAUAAAAUCACAGCACAGCAUUGUGCAAUGAUCAAAUAUUUAUAGGAUUAAGAUGGGCAUGCGUGACAUUAGUUAGUUGGCGGGGUAACGGCCCACCAAGACCACGAUGUCUAGGGGAUCUGAGAGGAUGACCCCCCACACUGGUACUGAGACACGGACCAGACUCCUACGGGAGGCAGCAGUGAGGAAUAUUGGUCAAUGGAGGCAACUCUGAACCAGCCAUGCCGCGUGCAGGAAGACAGCCCUCUGGGUCGUAAACUGCUUUUAUUCGGGAAUAAACCUGCUUACGUGUAAGUAGCUGAAUGUACCGAAGGAAUAAGGAUCGGCUAACUCCGUGCCAGCAGCCGCGGUAAUACGGAGGAUCCAAGCGUUAUCCGGAUUUAUUGGGUUUAAAGGGUGCGUAGCGGCUUUUUAAGUCAGGGGUGAAAGACGCUGGCUCAACCAUCGCAGUGCCCUUGAUACUAA